UUUUAAUUUUUUUUUUAAUUUAAAAAAGUUCUUUAAAUUUAAAAACAAAUAAAUCUUUUAAAUUUUUUUAAAAAAUUAAAUAAGCUAUUUUACUAUUUUAUGCUUAAAUAAUCUCUUUUAACUUUUAAAAAUAUAUCAAAAUAAAUUAUGUUAUAUCUUUUAAAAAAUAAAUCAAAAGAAAGGUUACUGUAGCAAAAAUUG
This 201-nucleotide unclassified non-coding RNA is filed under the name Hevea brasiliensis (rubber tree). The record is from RNAcentral. Lineage: Eukaryota; Viridiplantae; Streptophyta; Magnoliopsida; Malpighiales; Euphorbiaceae.